UACGAGGGGUGCAAGCGUUAAUCGGAAUUACUGGGCGUAAAGCGUACGCAGGCGGUUGAUUAAGCGAGAUGUGAAAGCCCCGGGCUUAACCUGGGAACUGCAUUUCGAACUGGUCAACUAGAGUCUUGUAGAGGGGGGUAGAAUUUCAGGUGUAGCGGUGAAAUGCGUAGAGAUCUGAAGGAAUACCGGUGGCGAAGGCGGCCCCCUGGACAAAGACUGACGCUCAGGUA
This 230-nucleotide ribosomal RNA is filed under the name uncultured microorganism. RNAcentral describes it as "partial 16S ribosomal RNA". It matches the Rfam family "Bacterial small subunit ribosomal RNA", at positions 524 to 753 of the family's 1533-position model. The record is from RNAcentral.